GCGAAUGGUCUAGGGGUAUGAUUUUCGCUUCGCAUUUAUCUAAAUGAGUCUGUGAAAGGUCCGGGGUUCAAAUCCCCGUUCGUCCA
Molecule: non-coding RNA, 86 nt
Organism: Vermiconidia calcicola
Lineage: Eukaryota; Fungi; Ascomycota; Dothideomycetes; Mycosphaerellales; Extremaceae
Source: the annotation of a GenBank genome assembly